GACGAACCGUGCGAACGUUGUUCGGAAUCACUGGGCUUAAAGGGCGCGUAGGCGGCUCACCAAGUCGGGGUGAAAUUUUUCGGCUUAACCGGAAAAGUGCCUUCGAUACUGGUGAACUAGAGCGAGGUAGGGGCGGAUGGAACUUCCGGUGGAACGGUGAAAUGUGUUGAUAUCGGAAGGAACGCCGGUGGCGAAAGCGAUCCGCUGGACCUCUUCUGACGCUGAGGCGCGAAAGCUAGGGGAGCAAACGGG
Molecule: unclassified non-coding RNA, 252 nt
Filed under: uncultured Planctomycetia bacterium
Lineage: Bacteria; Pseudomonadati; Planctomycetota; Planctomycetia
Description: contains 16S-23S intergenic spacer region
Rfam family: Bacterial small subunit ribosomal RNA
Source: RNAcentral